This is a long non-coding RNA of Rhinichthys klamathensis goyatoka, 244 nucleotides long. RefSeq lists it as uncharacterized. Lineage: Eukaryota; Metazoa; Chordata; Actinopteri; Cypriniformes; Leuciscidae. The record is from RefSeq and is a predicted model, not a curated record. The transcript is spliced from 3 exons.
UUCAAGAAUCAGGCACACUUCUUAUGGCUAGAAAGUGUUUCAUGCUGGAAAAAUAAGUCGUCUCACUACAAACAGCUCUUCUGGAGGAUGUACUCAAUCUCCACUUGUUUGGAGUGUGGGUUUGAGUACAAAUGCUGCACACCUGGUUAUGCUGGGAAGGGAAAGCGAGGUGAGCUCCAGGGCAUUUAUUCCGAAACCUUCCUCCCUGGAUUUUGCAGUUUUGACUGCAUGCAGAUCAGUUCUA